CCAAUAAUUAUAAUUUAAAGAAUAUAAUUUUCCACACUAUAAAAUAUUAAUUGUAUAAAUAUAUACUUCAAAAUGCAAAUAAGAGAAAACAUGGCUCAGAUUCUUAAGUUUGUUAGUGUCUUAAUUAUUUUUCUUUUCAUAUUCGUCAUUGUAUCCCAUGGUAACGUUGUAACCAAUGGAGUUAUCAAAUGCAAGUCUCAUAAAAUAUGUCGUAAUCUACUGAUUAAUUGCUUGCAUCCUAAAUAUCCAAGGUGUGUAGAUAAUAUAUGUGAAUGUUUUUAAUAGUAGGAAUGAAGUUCAAAAAUAAUUAUACGUAUUUGUAACUAUAGAAGGAAUAAAUUAUAUAAGGAAUAAAGUUCAAAAAUAAUUCCAGUUGGCAACUAUAAUGUUGGUACUUUUAUUAUUUUCUCAAAUUUCAAUGUAUUUUCUCCGAACCUUCAAUAAAUUUACCCACUCAAAUACUUAUUAUUGUAUUA
Vicia villosa (hairy vetch) is the source of this 476-nucleotide long non-coding RNA. RefSeq lists it as uncharacterized. The transcript is spliced from 2 exons. Lineage: Eukaryota; Viridiplantae; Streptophyta; Magnoliopsida; Fabales; Fabaceae. The record is from RefSeq and is a predicted model, not a curated record.